Molecule: non-coding RNA, 3892 nt
Organism: Rattus norvegicus (Norway rat)
Lineage: Eukaryota; Metazoa; Chordata; Mammalia; Rodentia; Muridae
Source: RefSeq, a predicted model, not a curated record
CUGGCACAGUGCGGUCCUUCCCAGAGCACACUGCCUGGGCGUGCUGCUACAAGAUGAGUGACAAUAAAAUCAGUUCUCAGGAAGAGAACAAGGUGUUCAAGGACACUCUGAAAACCCAGGUGACAAAACCGGAAGGAGAGGGGCUCCUGUGCACCCUCUGUGAUUGACGUGCUCCUCAGAGGUGCAGGUACCAGUGCUGAGGUGGCAGAACCCUAAGAGGAAAGUCAACGAUCACUCUGCUGUCAUGGAUGCGGUCACGGUCAUGCUGGCCUCACAGACGUCUAUUUCUUGUUCAUACUAGCAGCUCAAGGCAGCCAGAGGACCCAGGCCGUGCUGAAGCCUACGCCAUCUGGAAUGCUGCUGAGUUGUACAGAGUCCCUCACACUUCUCCCAGAGAGACGCCAUCAGUGACCUGCUCCAUAAACCACGGACCAGUGACUCCUGGGGAUGGGGAAAUGUUCUCCUGCUUUAAGCCAAAGGACGAGGACACCCCACUGACACAGUAAGAGCUCAUCUGAGGAGUACUUUCUGAGCUGGAGUCUUCUGUUGAUUUUGCAAAUGAGGAAAUUAGGCACAGAGAUGUUAAGCAAGGAGGGGGACACACAGCUAAGGAAAGGGAAGAGUCAGGGUGGAAGACCAAGCCUUUGGAAGACCAAGUCUCUGGAGCCUGCCUGCCCAACGGGCCUGUGUGAGUUAGGCUCCAAGAUAAAGCUUUUAAGUGUCCCAGUAUCUUUCACACUAGUGCUCUUUUACGAGGACGCCGAGGCUUACAAAGAAAAUAUAUGUCUCUUGAAGGCCAGAGAUAAUAACACAGUUUAACUGGAUCUCGACUUGGAUUUAUGAAACGCUCAAAGCUGACUGUGUAAGAAUUUACUCUGCGGGGCCUUUAAUGCGGCCACCCGGGCUCGUGUGGGCCCUGCGCUUGGUGGAGUCUCCUGUCAGAAAAUCUCCUUCAUCACCAAGUCUGGAACUAUCACUUCCAGUUUGGGGGCCAGCAGAGCCCUGGUCUUUCCCCAUCUCAGGUGGAUCCCCACUGUAAAAUGUGAGCAGCGGUUUGAGGCGGAUUUUACAAGGACAGAGCGUUUGUUGCUUUUAUGGCGAUGACACUCAAAACAUUUAUAGUCACCGAGAGUAGAGAGUGGGACAGAAGUAUAAGGGAAAGAGAGGGAAGCAAGAGGUGAAGAGGGGAAAAGAAAAGAUUUGGGAGUGUCUGCAUGUCCAGCAAGUGAGUGCCUGGGGGCUUGGAAGGGCACCCAGUGCAGGCCUGAAGAGAGGUCGAAGUUCCUUUUCUAGGCUGGGGGAUAGCCCUGCUGAGGGACGGAGCAGUUGUGCAGUGUUGUGGGGGAAGGAGUCUGGGUUUUCCCUUCCCCACCCUGUGGUAAUAAUGCACUGUAUUAGGCCAUCUUCCCUCCGGCUUGACCCACACUUGGAAACUGUUUGUGAGGCUGUGAGCACGGAACUGAGGGCACUUAACGUAGAUAACCAGACCACUGCAUCAAGGCAAAUGCCAUUGCUGAUGGAACCAACCGAUGCACUAAGACACGUGACAGCCGCCAUUGCUGCUACUGCCAUUACAGCAACCGUCACCAGCCACACCACUACAACACCACCAUACCGUACCACGGGUUCAACCUCACCCCUACAGCUCCAUGACCACCACUACACCACCCCACCUACAGCUCAACACCACCAUUGCUACACUGUACCACAGUUAUGGCACCAUCACCAGUGGUCCACCAUCACCACCAAAACAACUGUCGCCUGUUUUUAGAGACACCACAUGGAAGCUCGGAAGACCUGAUACCUGUACUCUCUGGAAGAUGGCCAGUCCCUCCCUACAUGCCCCAAACAAAUCAUCUUGAGGAUCCUCAUUCGAAAGGACAUCUUAUCAGGGAAGCACUUGCGUCCCAUGUGAGUUUCCAAUUUGCUUGGACAAACUGGGGCAUUUCUUCUGCUUGUCCCCGUCUGAUGACAGAGGAGCAACACCAGCUCUGCCCCUCACUGUCACGGAAAUGUUUCCUGCUGGCACCUUUGCUCCCUCCCUUAAAAUCCCUGGGAAGGGGCCCUCGGGAGUGUCAGAACUUGUGCUGCCUCUCUGCCUGGAAGAACUGGUCACUGGAGUUAAGGAUCAUUCCGAACUGCAACUGGGGGACACAUGCCUUUGACAUCCCCGUCCUUUCUCCGCAGACUCCUUGGACUAAUGCUGUGGAGGACAUGUGUGAGGCGGUGUUUAAGGCUCUCAAAGCAAAUUCUUCAAGCAUCCUCAAGCACUUACAAACACUUGAUACUGUAAUUACAAAUAAUUCUCUUCUCAUUAAGCCUCUACCAGCCAGCAAUGCUAAUCUACUUUGAAUUACAUGCGCUGGAAGAUACAUGUUUCUUCAAAAAAAAAAAAAAAAAAAAAAGCUCAUAACUCAUUCUUUGAAUUCACACAAACUAAGCCCUGGUGAAAUUCACCUGACCUGGUAAAGAUUUACUGUGGGCUAAACAUAUAGACGGAGGGUGUCAAAGUGAGGAAGAUGGCCACCCCAUGGAGGGUGAGCAGGGAGAGCAGUGGUGAGGAAAACCAGAGCACUGACUUCCAGUGAGGGACGGCCCGGAUGUGCGGUGGAACCUGCAGGAGGUUAUAGGCAACACCCACAGACAGUGUUUCUAGGAAGUCCACAAACACCCAUAUACCUUGAACUGGAGCAGGCCUAGGAAGGGAACUGAGUAUCUAGUAUCUGGUCCUCACCUCCCCAGGCUCCGACACUCAGUGCCUCCCUGAGUGAAGGGCUCACAGUUCCUCUUAGGAGGUGGCAGACAGUCAGUUCCUACCAGAGGAAGUUGAAGGCCACGCUGGGCACUAAACACAGAACAAGUGAGGACUGAAGCUUUCGGUCCCAGACUCAGACCGAAGGGACGGAAUGAAUAAGAGGCCCUGGGUUGUGACUUGAGGCCUUUCUGGGGUGUCUGGGGGCCUUUCCCUCUGUACUUGUGCAUGCUCAGCACUGAGGACCUCAAGAUCUAGGCACGAUCUUCACACCUCAGACACACCACACGGCGCAGCCAUCCACUGUGAGAGACCAGGAGCACGGCCAUGUACAACCCGACAGAAUGAGGCUGGAGUGGGUGGGGUACCUACUCAAUCCUCACAGCUCCGUAAGUAGCUGUCACCACCUCUACUGUAUGGAUCUGAACGUGGGAGGCAUCAGAUAAUUGUGGUUUCAGCUCCAAGACACAGAGCUGAGAUCUUUACCAAUGGCUAUGUUUUAACUUUCAUUUCCUUCCCGGUGUCUGAUGAGCCCCCUGCUCCAAAUACUCCACACAUUUUCCUCCAGCCUAGCCCAGCCUUCCAUGCCUCCAUCCCAACUCACCUUUCAGGGCCCGAGCCUGUCAUGGACCACUCCAGGGAGCCUCUCCCACACUCGUGACCAGCUGGAACUUAUCACGUCCUUUGUGCUACGCCCAGGAUUUACAAUUGCCUCCUUAACAAUGUUUAUAGUCUGCUGCGCACAGUGAGUAUUUGUGUAACAUUUGCUCCCCCAACAUUUGGAAGCCUCCCUGGAGAAGGAUCAUCUGAUGAGCCACCUGUCUACCCACAGUUUCCUCAAUAGGACCUCUGUGUUUGUCGGGCCAAUCGGUGGCCCACAAACAGCCAACUGGGGCUGCCAGUUGGUCCUCUUGUUUGCACUUGUUCAGCUGUGUGCAGCAACAUGAAGAAGGACCCGUGACUGAGGGAUGUGGCGCGGCCGUGAAGGCAACAUGGCUUUCAAGCAGACGGAAGAACUGCCCAUGCUUAGAUAGCAAAGAAAACAGCAGCUCUCCCUGCUCUCCUCUGCUCCAAACAGCAUAUACGUGCUCAACCACCAAACGGCAUGUCUUUUUUAAUAAAUUCUUAAGACUUAGUUUU